Molecule: long non-coding RNA, 453 nt
Filed under: Ananas comosus (pineapple)
Lineage: Eukaryota; Viridiplantae; Streptophyta; Magnoliopsida; Poales; Bromeliaceae
Description: long non-coding RNA (ACOM_LNC015328)
Source: RNAcentral
CUCUCUCUCUCUCUACCAAAGCGAUCACCCAUUUCUCUCUCCCCAAAUAGACCACUCUUCUCUCUACUUCUCUCUAUCUCGCACUGUCUCGCCGGUGCCCUCUCUCAUCCAUCCCUCUAUCCCUGAACUGAUCGCCCCCCUCUCUCAUUCUCUCUCUCUUUUCUCAUAUCUCCCACUCUUUCUCCCUACAACCAAUCUUUUGAAACGAUCACCCCUCUAUCUCUCUCCCUCUCUCUCUCACGCGCUGCUUCUCCCGCUCUCUCUCUCUACCAUCUAUCAUCUUCUCACACUCAACAGAUCGCCCCUCUCUUUCUCUCCCCCUCGCUAUCCCUCAUUUUCCCCUCUCUUUCUCUCCUCCUCGCUAUCCCUCCCUUUCUCUUGCUCUUCGAUCGAUAGUAGGUUUCUCUCUCCUCGACCUCGACGGAAUAAGGCAGUUUCCUUUCGGACCAGAAC